CGUAAACAGGUGAAAAACCCAACCAGGAAGUAAACAAUAAUGGCGAUGACUUCAAGAAAAAUAGUUUCUAAUGUUUUAAAACUAUUUCUUAUUUUCUUUAUUCAACAAACACUUUGUGAGAGACCCACCACUAGUUUAUCUUUAACCCAGAAGUUAUCGGAGGACAGGAAUGGGAUCCAUAUGAGAAGUGUCACCCCCACCAAGUCGUCAACUCAACAGCGAGGCCACAUACAGGUACUCAGUGCUGAGGCGGAUGGAGGCUGAGGGGCCAGGAGGGACGGAGGAGGAGGAGGACAGGCCCGGGCCCUACACACUGGGGGAGGACUCUGAUGAGGUUGGUGGACCUGGUCCUGUGUCCCUGUCAUCCUCCACGUCACUAUAGUGGUGUAGGGUGAAGUUGCCCCAGGACGCUGAUCUUGGGUCAGUUUUGCAUUUUCCCUACUGAUGGUUAAGGUUAGGAUUGGGGGAAGAGAAGCUGAUCCUAGAUUUGCAUCUUGGGGAAGCAUUACCCCUGAGCCACUAUAGUGUACUCCAGAACAGCUGUCUUAAUCAGGGGGUGGAGAAAAUUACAUUUUAGAGACUUGAAACGUUUUGGCAACACCUAAGUUAUACCAUAGGCUAUACGAGUACUUGGCUGCUAAACAUUUCAUAGGCCUAGCCUACUAUAUAUUUUUUUCAGGGCUUGUGGGUGUUUUUGCUGUGAUAAGAGAUCUAGUUGUGUCUUUCUUCUCUUUUCUCCCCUCCAACAGGAUAUGUUGGAGUGAAUCAUCACUCGGAUGACACUUCUCUGCGCUCAGGUUAGCUGAGGUCGACUGUGAAGUGUGUGUGUGUGCGUGCGUGCGUGCAUUCGCUAAGCUGUUAACCUCUUCUUCUCCUUGCACCCCUUCCAGUCUACAUGCUCCCGAAAUCCAGUUACAACAGUGCUAUUAUCCACUGAUGCUCGUUUUAAUUCAGGGAAUUGUUGUCAUGACAUGCGUACCUUAUUCUACACAUCUGGACUGUUAAUAAUAUUUUUAAUUGUAUAACCGAUACCAAUGGCUAGCAGAACAAAAUAAUCAUUCUUCACAAGUAUAGAAGCUGUGUCUGCACUGUAUACCGCAAUCAAAUCUUUCUAUUUGUUACUGACCUCUUCAAGCACUGUUUCAGUUGUUGAGUAUUGUUGUGUCAUCUUUAAGUAUUAUUCACACAUUUAAUGUAAAGUAUGUUAUACUAUGUUAACUUAACACAGCUGCCCAGGUUUUGUCUUUAAGACAAGCUGUUGUGCUUACGUCCUUUAAUUAUUGUUCUUGUUUGUCAUUUAGCAGACGCUCUUAUCCAGAGCGACUUACAGUAGUGAGUGUGUGUUUUUCGUUUUUUAUUUUCUUCUUUAUAUUAUAUAAACAUGUUGUAUAAAUGUAUUUCCCCCUGAGCAAAAAUGAAUAUGUCAAUCAAUCAAAUGUAUUUAUAAAGCCCUUCUUACAUCAGCUGAUGUCACAAAGUUCUGUACAGAAACCCAGUCUAAAACCCCAAACAGCAAGCAAUGCAGGUGUAGAAGCACGUGUUUGCAGUUCUGUUUUGUGUUUGCCGUUCUGCACUUUGACAUUAAAUAAUGUACAGUACCGCUACUGUGAGCUUCUUCAGUGCUUGUAAAUAAAGAGACACUCUGCUCAUCUGGCAUGAGGGACACGUCAUUAUCAACCACACCCCCACACCUGUGUAUGCUAAUCACAUAAACCAACAAUCCAAAGG
RNAcentral lists this long non-coding RNA (1728 nucleotides) under Salmo salar (Atlantic salmon). RNAcentral's name for it is "lncRNA (ENSSSAG00000104001.1)". The record is from RNAcentral. Lineage: Eukaryota; Metazoa; Chordata; Actinopteri; Salmoniformes; Salmonidae.